GCCUCUGGGAGGGGAGGGGGCGCGCCGGGGAUGAAGUGGAAAAAAGUGGGCGAGCAGAAGCGUUGAAAAUAUCGUGACAAGAAGUUUCCGUGUGCCCGAGAGCGUGAAUUGCUCCUAAUUACCGUGUCCGAUCGUCCUGGGCCCUGGACUCGCGUCCAUCUGUCCUUCCCGGUGGAAGUCGAAGUCGAGGUCUCCGCGGGCAGAGGAGCGGUUUUGGCCUUGCCUUGCGCUUACCUGUGCUGACGUCACGGACCGGAGGAGCAGCUCGGUCUGCCGAGGAGGCGGCAGGGGUCUGGUCCAGGAGCGGACAAACCCAGCUUCUUCUGGCCCUGGAGCCGGGAACUGGGAGGAAGACGCGACCGCCAGGGCUCCACCGCCAGCCGCAGAACCUCGCGCCCGAAGAGCGCUAGGCUCGCUCCCCUGAAGGAAGCCACCCCGAAGGACGAGGCUGAAUGGCAGGAGGGGUCAAGUGACGAAGAAUCCGGACCAUCUGCCACCCGGACCGAGAUGGGCCGCUGGCUCCCAGGAAAUCCCAUCCUCUCAGGAGCCUGGGAAUGGGUUUGGGAGAAAAGGGUCAGCUCCAGAGAUGGUCUUCCGGGUGGAGCGAGGCUAGGGGAGUGCACUGGGUAUAACAGGUCCGCCCGGGCGCGCAGGACCGAACCCCACCUCGCAGCACCCAAAGUUGUGCGCCUGAGCAGAUCCACGCGACAGCUGUGCCCCCUCCGGGGGCGGUGGCUGGGAGGAUCCCUUCAUUGCCGGGGAUUCGCGCGGGGGUCCUGGGAGCCUACUCCCGGAGUCUUUCCCAGGAAGUUUUCAGGAAAUUAUUUUAAACCCAAAACGAAAUAAAUUAAACAAAUUCGCUUAGGUUGC
Molecule: long non-coding RNA, 870 nt
Organism: Fukomys damarensis (Damara mole-rat)
Lineage: Eukaryota; Metazoa; Chordata; Mammalia; Rodentia; Bathyergidae
Exons: 3
Source: RefSeq, a predicted model, not a curated record